GACGAACGCUGGCGGCGUGCUUAACACAUGCAAGUCGAACGGAGAACGAGGGAGCUUGCUCCCUCCGGAUCAGUGGCGAACGGGUGAGUAACACGUGAACAACCUACCCCUAACUCUGGGAUAAGCGUUGGAAACGACGUCUAAUACCGGAUACGACGUGGAAGGGCAUCGUCCCCGCGUGAAAAAAACUUCGGUUCGGGAUGAGAUGUCGGCCUAUCCGUUUUUGGGUGAGGUAUAGGCUAACCAAGUCGACGAGGGGUAGCCGGCCUGGGAGGGUGACCGGCCACCCUGGGCCUGCGGCACGGCCCAGUCUCCUACGGGCGGCAGCAGUGGGGAAUAUUGCAGAAUGGGCGCACGCCUGAUGUAGCAACGCCGGGUGAGGGAAGCCGGCCUUCGGGUUGUAAACCUCUUUUUGCAGGGCAGAAGCGAAAGUGACGGUACCUGCAGAAAAAGCACCGGCUAACUACGUG
Molecule: ribosomal RNA, 470 nt
Filed under: uncultured bacterium
Lineage: Bacteria
Description: partial 16S ribosomal RNA
Rfam family: Bacterial small subunit ribosomal RNA
Source: RNAcentral